Sorex fumeus (smoky shrew) is the source of this 2551-nucleotide RNA transcript. It is a transcript of the gene named choline phosphotransferase 1, with no coding region annotated. The record is from RefSeq and is a predicted model, not a curated record. NCBI's taxonomy places the organism in Eukaryota, Metazoa, Chordata, Mammalia, Eulipotyphla, Soricidae. The transcript is spliced from 9 exons.
CCGCAGGCGGCCAUGGCGGCGGGCGCGGGGGCCAGGCCGGCGCCGCGCGGCCUCCGGGCGCUGUGGGAGCCGCUGGGCGCGGCGCAGCUGCGGCGGCUGCAGGAGCACCGCUACCGCGCGGCGGGCGUGUCGCUGCUCGAGCCGCCGCUGCAGCUCUACUGGACCUGGCUGCUCCGCUGGGUGCCGCUCUCGCUGGCCCCCAACUCCAUCACGCUGCUGGGCCUGCUCGUCAACCUGCUCACCACGCUCGUGCUCGUCGCCUACUGCCCCACGGCCACCGAGGAGGCACCAUACUGGACGUACCUUCUAUGUGCUCUGGGACUCUUUAUCUACCAGUCACUGGAUGCGAUUGAUGGGAAACAAGCCAGAAGAUUAAAUUCUUGUUCUCCUUUAGGGGAACUCUUUGACCAUGGUUGUGAUUCUCUUUCCACAGUAUUUAUGGCAGUUGGGGCCUCGCUAGCCGUGCGCCUAGGAACAAAUCCUGACUGGCUGUUCUUCUGCUCCUUCAUUGGCAUGUUCAUGUUCUAUUGUGCCCACUGGCAGACUUACGUUUCAGGCGUGUUGAGGUUUGGAAAAGUGGAUGUAACAGAAAUCCAGAUAGCGUUAAUGAUGGUGUUUAUAUUGUCUGCAUUUGGAGGAGCAACAAUGUGGGACUAUUCAAUACCCAUUGUAGAAAUAAAAUUGAAGACCUUUCCAAUUCUUGGAGUAGUAGGUGGAGCAAUAUUUUCCUGUUCCAAUUAUUUCCAUGUGAUCCUCCAUGGAGGUGUUGGCAAGAAUGGAUCCACUAUAGCAGGCACCAGUGUCUUGUCACCUGGCCUCCACAUAGGAAUUAUUAUUAUACUGGCGAUAAUGAUCUAUAAAAAGUCUGCAACUAAUGUGUUUGAAAAGCAUCCUUGUUUAUAUACCCUAAUGUUUGGAUGUGUCUUUGCUAAAGUCUCACAAAAACUGGUGAUAGCACAUAUGACCAAAAGUGAACUGUAUCUUCAAGACACUGUCUUUUUUGGCCCAGGUCUUUUAUUUUUAGAUCAAUAUUUUAAUAAUUUUGUAGAUGAACAUGUUGUUUUAUGGAUUGCAAUGGUCAUUUCUUCAUUUGAUAUGAUGAUAUACUUUAGUGCUUUGUGCCUGCAAAUUUCAAGACACCUUCAUAUAAAUAUUUUCAAGACUUCCUAUCAUCAAGCACCUGAACAGGUUCACAAGCAUAUUGACUAAUAAUCCAAGGAAAAGAGGAGAAGCAGUUAGGGGAAGCUAUGAGUGAAGGAAAUCCCCUUUUGCAGGAGGCUAGUAUAUUAUCAAAUAAGGUUAUAUUUUAAUAUGAACCAUUAAGUUCUACAUAUUAUGUCUAUUUCAGUUGUGACAACUUCAUUGUGUAUCAUCACUUAUUGUCAAAGCAAUAUAAUCUGUAAUUAGGAACAAAACCAAAGAAAUUACUUUUCUGUGGAUAAGAAAGUGAACCACUGUAGUUCUAAAUGGCAAUCUCUUUAUCUCAGAAAUCUUUUUCAGACAGUUGGGGUUUUCAUUAUGAAAAGAUUUUUAAAAUUCAGGACUUAAAGGAUUUCAACCAUUUUGUCAGUCAUGCUUUCUUAGAAAUUGAAAAUUAAUUAAGUUCAUGAUACUGAAUAAAUGCUUGUAAUACUUUACUGAGGCAGAUGAUGUUAUAUGAAAUAUUAGUCAUUUUAAAAAUAUGUUAACUACUACUGUAUGAAAGUAAACACUUGUCCUUGUAUAACACAUAGAAUAUAAAAAACAUGCUGGAUUUUCUAUCAUUUAUAUUUAGUAAAAGUAAUUUUAUCUUACCAGUUCAGAAAAACUAAUUUUUACAGUAAAGGUAGCUUGUUCCUUAAUGUUUUCAAAUAAAGUUUUAUUACAAAAAAAGAGAGGUAAUAAAUAUUCCUUUUUUAUAAAAAAUAAAAUAGUAAAGCCAAUUGACAUAAGAAAAUUAUUAAUAGGGGCUGAAGUGAUAAUAUAAAGGAUAGGGCUCUUCACUUGCAUGUGGCCAACCCAGGUUUGAUUCCAAGUAUACCAUACGGUCCACCUAAGCCCCACCAAAAGUGAAUCCUGAGUACAGAAUGAGUAGUAAGCCUUAACUAAGCACAGCCAAGUGUGGCCUCCAAACAAAACAACAAAUUCUAGGUGGGUGGUUCUCAAAGUCCACAGGCCAGUGUCAGACUAAUUUCCUGAUGGUCUUUGAGAAAGGAUAUUGCCACUCAAUACACAGUUUUCAUUUUACAAUAUUACACUUAUAAAUACUGUAUGAUUAUUUUACUUCUGCUAUAAUAAUCCAUGAAAUGUUUCUCUUAUUUUUACCAGUCUGUGUGUAUAAAAAGGUUAUAAAGCACUGUUCUAGGUGAUUUAUGCUUAAAGAGAGAUAUGAAGUACCUGGUUCAAGUUCUUCCUUCAAAGAGUCAUCAGAAUAGCAUGGAUUGAAGAGACUUUCGAACACUUGCCAUCUCUUGCUGCUGCUAUUACACAAAAGGAAAUAAUAAACAUUUGUUUAAUUUUUAGAUAAGUGUUACACAUAUUUCAGCAAAUAAAUAUUUCAAUGCUCUCUUAA